Molecule: ribosomal RNA, 237 nt
Filed under: uncultured Lactobacillus sp.
Lineage: Bacteria; Bacillati; Bacillota; Bacilli; Lactobacillales; Lactobacillaceae
Description: partial 16S ribosomal RNA
Rfam family: Bacterial small subunit ribosomal RNA
Source: RNAcentral
CCUGCCCAAGAGAUCGGGAUAACACCUGGAAACAGAUGCUAAUACCGGAUAACAACAGAUGAUGCCUAUCAACUGUUUAAAAGAUGGUUCUGCUAUCACUCUUGGAUGGACCUGCGGUGCAUUAGCUAGUUGGUAGGGUAACGGCCUACCAAGGCGAUGAUGCAUAGCCGAGUUGAGAGACUGAUCGGCCACAUUGGGACUGAGACACGGCCCAAACUCCUACGGGAGGCAGCAGUC